UAGUACGGCGAGUGAAGCGGGAAGAGCUCAAAUUUGAAAUCUGGUAGCCUUCGGUUGCCCGAGUUGUAAUCUAGAGAAGUGUUUUCCGCGUUGGCCCAUGUACAAGUCCCUUGGAACAGGGCGUCAUAGAGGGUGAGAAUCCCGUCCUUGACAUGGACCCCCAAUGCUUUGUGAUACACUUUCAACGAGUCGAGUUGUUUGGGAAUGCAGCUCAAAAUGGGUGGUGAAUUCCAUCUAAAGCUAAAUAUUGGCGAGAGACCGAUAGCGAACAAGUACCGUGAGGGAAAGAUGAAAAGCACUUUGGAAAGAGAGUUAAACAGUACGUGAAAUUGUUGAAAGGGAAACGAUUGAAGUCAGUCAUGCUCUUUGGAUUAAGCCGUUCUGCGGUGUAUUUCAUUGAGCGGGGUCAACAUCAGUUUUGAUCGCUGGAAAAGGGCAGGAGGAAGGUAGCACUCUCGGGUGAACUUAUAGCCUCUUGUCGUAUACAGUGAUUGGGACUGAGGAACGCAGCAUGCCUUUUGGCCGGGAUUCGUCCACGUACAUGCUUAGGAUGUUGACAUAAUGGCUUUAAACGAUCCGUCUUGAAACACGGGCCUG
Molecule: ribosomal RNA, 597 nt
Filed under: Naganishia globosa
Lineage: Eukaryota; Fungi; Basidiomycota; Tremellomycetes; Filobasidiales; Filobasidiaceae
Description: eukaryotic LSU rRNA
Rfam family: Eukaryotic large subunit ribosomal RNA
Source: RNAcentral